UUAUGAGUUGCAAUAGUUGAGAUUGAUAGACUGAUAAAUGUUAGAAAUUGUAUUUCUGUAUAUUUGUGCCUUAGGACCCCAAAAAAGAUUAUUUCAUAAUACUGUAGAGAACUAUCUCGUUAUUGAUUAAUAAAUAAUAUACAAGACUUCGUAUAAAUAUAGGGCUAGUAACAGUUCUGGAUAGAGAUCAAGGAAUCAGAAUAUUAGUAGGAAUGUGUGCUUUGUGAGAAGUGGGGGGUCCAUGGCAUAAGACAACAAGGAAGAGAUACGAAGACCGAGAGAGAGUAGAAAGAAAUCGAGAGAGAUAGAUGAGAGUAGAGAGAUUGAGAGCAUAUAGAGAGAGAUUAGAGAGACCUGAGGCCACCAGAGAAUAGAGAUUGAGAGAAAACAGGGGGAGAGUAGAGAGAAACAAAAGGGCAAGAGAGAGAAUUACUGUAAGAAGCCCAACAGAGAUAAGACAAUCUCGGGCAGAUCGCAGAAGACCAAACAAAGAUCAGAGAAGCGUGAGAGGCGAAACGGAGUUUUUACAGAUCGCAGAGAAAGCCCAAGCCCUGCUUACAAAAGGCCGAAACAAGAUCGCAGAGAACCUUGCUUUGAUAACAUGUUAGAAACUGUAUUUCUGUAUAUUUGGGCCUAAG
This 638-nucleotide long non-coding RNA is filed under the name Amborella trichopoda. RNAcentral's name for it is "long non-coding RNA (ATRI_LNC000629)". The record is from RNAcentral. Lineage: Eukaryota; Viridiplantae; Streptophyta; Magnoliopsida; Amborellales; Amborellaceae.